Molecule: non-coding RNA, 324 nt
Organism: Zootermopsis nevadensis
Lineage: Eukaryota; Metazoa; Arthropoda; Insecta; Blattodea; Termopsidae
Source: RefSeq, a predicted model, not a curated record
GGGUUAACGUUAUCAGGGAAAAUUAAUUUUUGCUGUCGUCAUUGGAAUUCAUUUUCCUAUCUUGUUUAAGCAUUUCGACGCGGUUAUAUUUUGUGUCUCUUCAGCUGUGGUUGUGGCUUUGUCUUUGGCCUUCAGGUCAAACACCAUGAGGAUGGGAAGGAGUUGGUGUGGUUAAGUGAAACAACUUGAGUAAUGCUUGAGGUGUUUGCAGCUACGGCGGUUCACAAGCACUUCACGUUCAAGAGACUGAGACACUGCUGCUGUGUGUGACACCAAUAGCAGUAUAUUGACUUCAGGAUUCGUCUUGCUACUCACACAGCGUUC